RNAcentral lists this small RNA (250 nucleotides) under Pan troglodytes (chimpanzee). RNAcentral describes it as "processed transcript". The record is from RNAcentral. Lineage: Eukaryota; Metazoa; Chordata; Mammalia; Primates; Hominidae.
AUGUUCAACUCCACCCCUGGUCCUUGGGCGGCCGUGGGUCCCCUUCGAAGCGGAGGAAUGGCCAACCUCGCCGCACUUCGAGCCCCUUUAGGGUGCGUUUAAGAACAGUGGGCGUGGCCUUUACGUAAAUCUUCGAGUUGGGAACCUCCAGAAUUUGUCUCAAUUGUCUAAAAGAUGGAGUUAAUUCUUUGGACAAGCUGGGUGAGAAAAGCAGGGUGGGUGAGGUAACCUUAACACCAGCUGCCCUACU